This 470-nucleotide long non-coding RNA is filed under the name Fukomys damarensis (Damara mole-rat). RNAcentral describes it as "lncRNA (ENSFDAG00000021642.1)". Lineage: Eukaryota; Metazoa; Chordata; Mammalia; Rodentia; Bathyergidae. The record is from RNAcentral.
CAGGAGGCAGAGCCCUCGAUGUCGAUCUCUCUGAGGUGCGGGGGGCGACAUCCACAGAGGAGCUGCCCCCUGAGCUAACAGACUCUGACCCUGGAACCUCUGCAGUGGCUCCCUGCGAAGCGACAGUGUGCGACAAAGCAGAGGGACGUGGCUGUGGUUAGGUCACCACCUGCAUGGUGACUUCCUCCUCCUCCCUCUCUCCUCUCAUGCUUGUGCUCUGAUGAGCGAGCUGGAGUUUUUAAGGUGGCGAUCCGCUGAGGGCCACCACUACCACGUUCAAGCCAGGAACCGCGACUCCCGGACACAGGGACAACCGUAUACUGCGUGGACGUGGGUCCUGAUCCCAGAGUGUCUCGGGAGGUCUUGCUCCACCGUGCCCGCUUGUCAACCUGCUCUCCCCGCUGCGGGUCCCUGCCUUGUCCACAAGAGGAAGCAGACAAGAUGCGUGUUCCUCAUUCCGCGCAGCACCC